GAUGAACGCUGGCGGCGUGCCUAAUACAUGCAAGUCGAGCGAACAGACGAGGAGCUUGCUCCUCUGACGUUAGCGGCGGACGGGUGAGUAACACGUGGAUAACCUACCUAUAAGACUGGGAUAACUUCGGGAAACCGGAGCUAAUACCGGAUAAUAUAUUGAACCGCAUGGUUCAAUAGUGAAAGACGGUUUUGCUGUCACUUAUAGAUGGUUCCGCGCCGCAUUAGCUAGUUGGUAAGGUAACGGCUUACCAAGGCAACGAUGCGUAGCCGACCUGAGAGGGUGAUCGGCCACACUGGAACUGAGACACGGUCCAGACUCCUACGGGAGGCAGCAGUAGGGAAUCUUCCGCAAUGGGCGAAAGCCUGACGGAGCAACGCCGCGUGAGUGAUGAAGGUCUUCGGAUCGUAAAACUCUGUUAUUAGGGAAGAACAAAUGUGUAAGUAACUAUGCACGUCUUGACGGUACCUAAUCAGAAAGCAACGGCUAACUACGUG
This 497-nucleotide ribosomal RNA is filed under the name uncultured bacterium. RNAcentral describes it as "partial 16S ribosomal RNA". It matches the Rfam family "Bacterial small subunit ribosomal RNA", at positions 28 to 507 of the family's 1533-position model. The record is from RNAcentral.